Molecule: ribosomal RNA, 488 nt
Filed under: uncultured bacterium
Lineage: Bacteria
Description: partial 16S ribosomal RNA
Rfam family: Bacterial small subunit ribosomal RNA
Source: RNAcentral
AUUGAACGCUGGCGGCAGGCCUAACACAUGCAAGUCGAACGGUAACAGGGAUCAGCUUGCUGAUUCGCUGACGAGUGGCGGACGGGUGAGUAAUGUCUGGGAAACUGCCUGAUGGAGGGGGAUAACUACUGGAAACGGUAGCUAAUACCGCAUAACGUCGCCAGACCAAAGAGGGGGACCUUCGGGCCUCUUGCCAUCGGAUGUGCCCAGAUGGGAUUAGCUAGUAGGUGGGGUAACGGCUCACCUAGGCGACGAUCCCUAGCUGGUCUGAGAGGAUGACCAGCCACGCGGGAACUGAGACACGGUCCAGACUCCUGCGGGGGGCAGCAGUGGGGAAUAUGGCACAAGGGGCGAAAGCCUGAUGCAGCCAUGCCGCGUGUAUGAAGAAGGCCUUCGGGGUGUAAAGUACUUUCAGCGGGGAGGAAGGGAGUAAAGUUAAUACCUUUGCUCAUUGACGUUACCCGCAGAAGAAGCACCGGCUAACUCCG